RNAcentral lists this ribosomal RNA (253 nucleotides) under uncultured bacterium. Its description in RNAcentral is "partial 16S ribosomal RNA". It matches the Rfam family "Bacterial small subunit ribosomal RNA", at positions 524 to 776 of the family's 1533-position model. The record is from RNAcentral.
UACGUAGGUGGCAAGCGUUGUCCGGAUUUAUUGGGUUUAAAGGGUGCGUAGGCGGCUUUGUAAGUCAGUGGUGAAAUACGGUAGCUUAACUAUCGAGGUGCCAUUGAUACUGUGAGGCUUGAGUACAGAUGAGGUAGGCGGAAUUGACGGUGUAGCGGUGAAAUGCUUAGAUAUCGUCAAGAACACCUAUAGCGAAGGCAGCUUACUAGGCUGUAACUGACGCUGAGGCACGAAAGUGUGGGGAUCAAACAGG